GGUCAGCUGACACAUCCCUGCCAAUCUCCGGCAGACCCUCCCUCCCAGACCCUCCUACUUCCUGGACAGCAUCCAUGUUGAAGGCAGCUUCAACAUGGAUGCUGUCCAGGAGAUGGGAGGGUCUGGGAGGGAGGGUCUGCCGGAGAGUGGCAGGGAUGUGUCAGCUG
Molecule: microRNA precursor, 167 nt
Filed under: Pelobates cultripes (western spadefoot toad)
Lineage: Eukaryota; Metazoa; Chordata; Amphibia; Anura; Pelobatidae
Source: RNAcentral